Molecule: ribosomal RNA, 468 nt
Filed under: uncultured bacterium
Lineage: Bacteria
Description: partial 16S ribosomal RNA
Rfam family: Bacterial small subunit ribosomal RNA
Source: RNAcentral
GACGAACGCUGGCGGCGUGCUUAACACAUGCAAGUCGAACGGAAAGGCCCUGCUUUUGUGGGGUGCUCGAGUGGCGAACGGGUGAGUAACACGUGAGUAACCUGCCCUUGACUUUGGGAUAACUUCAGGAAACUGGGGCUAAUACCGGAUAGGAGCUCCUGCUGCAUGGUGGGGGUUGGAAAGUUUCGGCGGUUGGGGAUGGACUCGCGGCUUAUCAGCUUGUUGGUGGGGUAGUGGCUUACCAAGGCUUUGACGGGUAGCCGGCCUGAGAGGGUGACCGGCCACAUUGGGACUGAGAUGCGGCCCAGACUACUACGGGAGGCAGCAGUGGGGAAUAUUGCACAAUGGGCGGAAGCCUGAUGCAGCAAAGCCGCGUGCGGGAUGACGGCCUUCGGGUUGUAAACCGCUUUCGCCUGUGACGAAGCGUGAGUGACGGUAAUGGGUAAAGAAGCACCGGCUAACUACGUG